CGUAGGCGGUUCGUACAGUCAGACGUGAAAUUCCCGGGCUCAACCUGGGGACUGCGUUUGAUACGUACGGGCUUGAGUUCGGAAGAGGGUCGUGGAAUUCCCAGUGUAGAGGUGAAAUUCGUAGAUAUUGGGAAGAACACCGGUGGCGAAGGCGGCGACCUGGUCCGAUACUGACGCUGAGGCGCGAAAGCGUGGGGAGCAAACA
This 205-nucleotide ribosomal RNA is filed under the name uncultured bacterium. RNAcentral's name for it is "partial 16S ribosomal RNA". It matches the Rfam family "Bacterial small subunit ribosomal RNA", at positions 570 to 774 of the family's 1533-position model. The record is from RNAcentral.